UGGUUGUACAUUACCCACCAA
Non-coding RNA from Caenorhabditis elegans, 21 nucleotides. The record is from Ensembl. Lineage: Eukaryota; Metazoa; Nematoda; Chromadorea; Rhabditida; Rhabditidae.